RNAcentral lists this long non-coding RNA (413 nucleotides) under Olea europaea subsp. europaea. Lineage: Eukaryota; Viridiplantae; Streptophyta; Magnoliopsida; Lamiales; Oleaceae. The record is from RNAcentral.
UAUGUUCUAUGUACACUCUUAAUUGGCAUUCUUGAUUAUCUUCUAACUUGGGUAAGAUAAAAAUAAUCCAAAUUGACUGUCUAUGGAUGUGCAGGUUAUACUGUGCAAUGACUGUGAGAAAAGAGGAUCUGUGUCCUUUCACUGGCUCUACCACAAGUGCUCUCACUGUGGUUCAUACAAUACCAGGCUCCUAUGACUCAAAUACUUGGCAAGUUUGGAUUUUGUGUCUUACUCAUCUAGAAACAAAUAAGUCCUGUCGAUUCGUGUGUCAUGUAUGAAACCUAUCAAUUUCCAAGUUUGGAUUUUGUGUCUUACUCAUCUAGAAAUAAAUAAGUCCUGUCGGAUUCGUGUGUCAUGUAUGAAACCUAUCAAUUUCCUCGACUAAUAUAAUUUAUUUUAUCUUUAUAUCUCCA